RNAcentral lists this ribosomal RNA (434 nucleotides) under uncultured bacterium. Its description in RNAcentral is "partial 16S ribosomal RNA". It matches the Rfam family "Bacterial small subunit ribosomal RNA", at positions 29 to 507 of the family's 1533-position model. The record is from RNAcentral.
AGCGAACGCUGGCGGCAGGCCUAACACAUGCAAGUCGAACGAACCUUUCGGGGUUGGUGGCGAACGGGUGGGUAACGCGAGGGAACGUGCCAUUAGGUACGGAAUCUCCCAGGGACACGUGUGCUAAUACCGGAUGUGCCCUUCGGGGGCACGAUAUAUCGCCUUUCGAGCGGCCCGCGUCUGAUUAGCUCGUUGGUUGAGGUAAUGGCUCACCAAGGCGACGAUCAGUAGCUGGUCUGAGAGGAUGAUCAGCCACAUUGGGACUGAGACACGGCCCAAACUCCUACGGGAGGCAGCAGUGGGGAAUCUUGCGCAAUGGGCGAAAGCCUGACGCAGCCAUGCCGCGUGAAUGAUGAAGGUCUUAGGAUUGUAAAAUUCUUUCACCGGGGACGAUAAUGACGGUACCCGGAGAAGAAGCCCCGGCUAACUUCGUG